GGGAAACGGAUUUUGGACACAGAAGGAACCAGAGGAGCCGCUUUUUGGAAACAAAAUGCUAGGAAGGUGUGUGCUGUGAAAGAAGGAGAUUUGCAGCAGUUACAAGGAAGCAAAAAAAGAAGACUGAGUCGGCGAGAUGAUAAUGGUCUAGAGGCAGUGUACGACACAAUUGAAGAGGUGGUCCUGGCAGCACAGGGUCUUCAGGAGGUGUCAACUACAAUUAAG
Long non-coding RNA from Cyprinodon tularosa, 225 nucleotides. RefSeq lists it as uncharacterized. The transcript has 3 exons. The record is from RefSeq and is a predicted model, not a curated record. Lineage: Eukaryota; Metazoa; Chordata; Actinopteri; Cyprinodontiformes; Cyprinodontidae.